GACAUUCCUGACCCUAUUUCCAGUAAGGUUUCCGGUGGUUGGACCUAGGGUUUUGAACCUAGGGUUUUUAUCUGACGAUUGAAGGCCGUUCUUCUCCGGUUGCGAAGAAGGAGGGUAACUCUAUCCCUGUUCUAAGUGUUGUAUGUUUUGCAUGUGGGUUCUGAAACUGUUUUUUUUUUUAUUUCAAACCGAUUGUUGUUCAUGGCUUCUAAUAUGAAUGCUAGUACCUCCUUAUGUAGACCAUACCAGUCCUCUUUUUAUCUACUCCUCUAAUGUUCCUGGAGUCUCUCUUGUGUCCACUCCCUUCUCGGAGAGUGGCUAUGGAGGUUGGAGGAGGAAGAUGAUUGUCGCGUUAUCUGCUAAAAACAAAAUCGAUUUUGUUGAUGGCACCUGUCCUCGACCAGUCACUAAUGUGACUCAGCAAAGAUUAUGGGACAUAUGCAAUAAUAUGGUGAUUUCCUGGUUGACUACCUCCCUCUCCCCUCAAAUUGCUGAAAGUGUGCAGUAUUCUGAUACUGCACACAGUAUAUGGUCCCAGCUUCAGGCCAGAUAUGGCACUGCCAACAGGACCAAAAUUUUUGAAUUAAAAAGAGAGCUUUCUCACACCUCUCAAGGGUCCCUAUAUGUAUCUUCGUAUUUCAAUAAACUUAAAGGUCUAUGGAGUGAAUUAGAAUCUAUGUGUACAAAUCAUGGGCAGAGAUGUGUUUGUGCUGCCAAAGAUGGUAUAAUACAGGAAAAUAAUGAAAAUAAGGUAUUUCAGUUUCUAAUGGGCCUUAAUGAAGCAUACAUGAGGGUAAGGAGUAACCUAUUGAUGAUGCAGUCACCUCCAACCCUUGACACUGUCUAUAAUAUGGUCCUCAAUGAUGAGAAGCAGAGACAAGUCCAGUCCCCUUCUCAGUUUAAUCCAGACUCUAUGUCUUUCAAUGUCCACACUAAUAUGAUAAGUGUUUCAAGAUUCAUGGGUUUCCACAAAGUACAACAUUUAACAAGGGGAGGAGACCUGCUGCUGCACAUCUAACUGCUGGUGUGGAAUCCCCUUCUUCUGAUGGAUAUGUGUCUAUUCCCCAAGGGAAUCCUCCUGAAAGCCAUCACUCUGUUACAAACAUAGAUGGCCAGAGUUCUGUGAUACCAGGGUUGAGCGGACAACAAUAUGACCAAUUGAUGAGCUUGUUACAACAGACCCAGUUAGGGGACUCCACUACUCAGACUCCUCCUCCCAUGUAUGCUGCCAACUUUGCUGGUACUAUGCUAACUGAGAGCCCUGCUUUUGAUUCCAAAUUUUGCAUGUUAACUCACAUUAAUUCUACUACCUGGAUAAUAGAUUCAGGAGCAUCAAACCAUAUGACUUUUAAUAAGGAUUUACUUUUCAGUCUUAUACCUUUAACUGUACUCUAUCUUGUUCUCUUCCCAAUGGAUAUAAAGUGAAAGUGACACGCACAGGAUCUUUUGUAUUAAAUCCAUUCAUCACUCUUCAUGAUGUCCUACUUGUUCCUUCUUUCAAACAUAACUUGAUUUCUGUCCACAGGUUAGUGAAACAGUUGCAUUGCAUAGUAUUGUUCACUGCAACUUCCUGUUUACUUAACUUGUUACAGGCCCCUUCUCUGCCAUAUGACUUUUAAUAAAGAUUUGCUCUUUAAUCUCAUACAUUUAACUGUGCCCUAUCUUGUUACUCUUCCCAAUGGAUAUAAAGUGAAAGUGACAUGUAUGGGAUCUUUUGCAUUAAAUCCAUUCAUCACUCUUCAUAAUGUCCUACUUGUUCCUUCUUUCAAACAUAACUUGAUUGCUGUCCACAAGUUAGUACAGUUGCAUUGUAUAAUACUGUUUACUGCAACUUCCUGUUUAAUUCACUUGUUACAGGCCCCUUCUCUGAAGAUGCCUCUGGAUCUUGGUAAAGAUGAGGCUGGUCUGUACAAGCUUGUUUGGGUGCCCCCUUCAUCUUCUUCUAAUUGUGGUUCUUCUGUUUCUGUAUGUUCUUCUUCUUCUAAUUCUUGUAAACAUGCCUAUUCUAGUGAUCAAGCUGUUGGUUUGCCUUUGAAUGAAAACAGUCCCAUGUGUAAUAAUACUGUUACCACAGACAUGAAUUACAUUUGGCAUUUAACGUUGGGCCAUAUUAUUUUUGUGAACAUGAAACACAUUUCUGGUUUACAUUUUCCAUUCGCUUCUAAAUAGCCUUUUCAAUGCUCUACCUGUCCUAUGGCUAGGCAAACUAGGCUUAUCUUUCUUGAAAGCAUUACUAGUACAUCUAAGCCUUUUCAGUUGAUUCAUGUUGAUACUUGGGGACCUUAUCAUACCCCCACCUCUUCUGGUUCUUUGAUUCAUGUUGAUACUUGGGGAUCUUAUCAUACCCCCACCUCUUCUGAUUCUAGAUAUUUUCUCACAAUAGUUGAUGACUUUUCUAGGGCAACCUGGACACAUUUGUUAGGGUCUAAAAACAAUGCUUUCUGCAUGCUUGAAUCUUUUCUCUGUAUGGUCAAGACCCAAUUCAAUGCAAUUGUACAAACUGUUAGGAGUGACAAUGCUUUAGAAUUGGGAUCUAGCAUUGCUGGUACAUCCUUUUUUAACCAAAAUGGCAUCAUACACCAAACCACUUGCCCACAUACUCCCAAAUAGAAUGGUGUUGUUGAGAGGAAAUAUAGAACCCUUCUUGAAACCUGUAGAGCUUUGCUUUUCCAGUCUGAUUUACCCAUUUCUUUCUGGGGUGAUUGUCUAUUAACUGCUAUCUAUCUUGUUAAUAGAGUACCCUCCAGGCUCCUUCAUGGUAAAUCCCCUUGUGAAAUCUUACAUAGUAAGGCACCCACUUACUCUUAUUUAAAGGCUUUUGGCUGCCUUGCCUAUGCUACUGUCCCCAUUCCUCAUAGGGACAAGUUAAAGCGUAGGGCCAUUUCUUGUGUUUUCC
Molecule: long non-coding RNA, 2896 nt
Filed under: Nicotiana benthamiana
Lineage: Eukaryota; Viridiplantae; Streptophyta; Magnoliopsida; Solanales; Solanaceae
Description: long non-coding RNA (NBEN_LNC021718)
Source: RNAcentral